Molecule: ribosomal RNA, 498 nt
Filed under: uncultured bacterium
Lineage: Bacteria
Description: partial 16S ribosomal RNA
Rfam family: Bacterial small subunit ribosomal RNA
Source: RNAcentral
GACGAACGCUGGCGGCGUGCCUAAUACAUGCAAGUCGAGCGGACGGAUGGGAGCUUGCUCCCAGACCGUCAGCGGCGGACGGGUGAGUAACACGUGGGCAACCUGCCUGUAAGACUGGGAUAACUCCGGGAAACCGGGGCUAAUACCGGAUAACUCUUUCCCUCCCAUGAGGGAAAGCUGAAAGAUGGCAUCUCGCUAUCACUUACAGCUGGGCCCGCGGCGCAUUAGCUAGUUGGUGAGGUAACGGCUCACCAAGGCGACGAUGCGUAGCCGACCUGAGAGGGUGAUCGGCCACACUGGGACUGAGACACGGCCCAGACUCCUACGGGAGGCAGCAGUAGGGAAUCUUCCGCAAUGGACGAAAGUCUGACGGAGCAACGCCGCGUGAGUGAUGAAGGUGUUCGGAUCGUAAAACUCUGUUGUCAGGGAAGAACAAGUACCGGAGUAACUGCCGGUACCUUGACGGUACCUGACCAGAAAGCCACGGCUAACUACGUG